Molecule: transfer RNA, 72 nt
Filed under: Dipodomys ordii (Ord's kangaroo rat)
Lineage: Eukaryota; Metazoa; Chordata; Mammalia; Rodentia; Heteromyidae
Rfam family: tRNA
About the family: Transfer RNA (tRNA) molecules are approximately 80 nucleotides in length.
Source: Rfam by way of RNAcentral
GGGAAGGUGGCUCAGUGGUAGAGUACUUGCCUUGUAUGCAUGAGGCCCUGGGUUCAAUUCCUCAGUGCCCCA